CAGAUAUCCCGAGGCAGCUACAAAGUACAGGGUGCAAGAUGGGCCGACCAGUCGCCAGCUGCCAACCGUGAUACUGUUCAGCGAGGGUCAAGAGAAGAUGCGGCGGCCGCACGCUGACCACACUGGGAAACUUCAGAAAUUCCUUUUUUCGAAAGACAAUUUAAAAGCGGUUUUCGACAUCGAUGGAAUAUACCAAGAGUGUAAAACCAAAAUGGCCGCCAAAAGUAAAAAGACCGAGAAGACGGAGUAGACGGAGUAGACGGUCGGUGUAUUGUAGGAUAUUGAAAAUGCUUGUGUAGAAUAAAUAAUAUAUACAACAAAACAAUCAUGUUCCUCGCACACAGUUGAUAUUAAACAUUAAAAACUAAUAAAUAUAUAUACAGGUGUUCAGUAAAUAGUACGACAUACCAAAUAAAGAGAAAACGACAUGAAAAAAUGUAUUACACAUCAAAAAAAUAUUUUUUGCUAUGGCAACUGUUCAGUUUAUUUUUAUUUUUUUGUUUAUUUAAUCUUACUACAUGGUGUUAUAUUACUUAUAUAACAUCCUGUAUAUAAAUCACAUAUAAUAGGGCAUCUAAGAAAUUUAAGAUAUGUAAGUAAUAAAAAAAUUACUAGCACAUUUCCCACCAAAUAGUGAAAGUGCUAAUAUUAGGUUAUGGUUUGUGUUUUUCUUUUGCGUACAUAAAGAUCUGAAUAGCAUUUAGGUAAAUUGUAUGUGUUUGUAUAUUUUUUAACCCACAUUCAAAAAGCGAAUAGUUCUUAAUUCGAAUGUUUUUUUUUUUUUUUGUUGAACAUAUUACUCAGUGAGUUUGGAUUUUUAAUCGAUUGACAUGAUUCUUUGUGCGUUUGAUAGGGGAUUUUCUUUAUUGAUUUUGCUAAAAAAUAUAUAAUGACUUGAAUCGUUAAAUGUGUAUUGGUACGUGGUAAUAAGAACUAUUCUUAUUUUUAUAUAAUUUGGACCACAGAUUAUUGUUUUAUUGAUUGUAUAAGCAAUUUUGUAUUAAUUAACUAAGCUAUUCGCCGAAGGGGACUACUUGAGAUAAAAGCGUGUUUUAUGAUGCCUUAAAGUUUAUAUUUAUUAGCUGCGACCCGCGGUUUCGACCGCGUACCUUCGGAUACCGGUAGAAAUAUCGGUAUAAAAAGUUGCCUAUAUGUUAUUCCAGCUAUCCAGCUGUCUACGUACCAAAUUUCAUUGCAAUCGGUUCAGCAGUUUUUGCGUGCAAAUUUUAUAUGUG
Long non-coding RNA from Zerene cesonia (dogface butterfly), 1235 nucleotides. RefSeq lists it as uncharacterized. The transcript has 2 exons. The record is from RefSeq and is a predicted model, not a curated record. NCBI's taxonomy places the organism in Eukaryota, Metazoa, Arthropoda, Insecta, Lepidoptera, Pieridae.